CACGUAGGGGGCGAGCGUUGUCCGGAUUUAUUGGGCGUAAAGAGCUCGUAGGCGGCUCAGUAAGUCAGGUGUGAAAACUCCAGGCUCAACCUGGAGACGCCAUCUGAUACUGCUGUGGCUAGAGUCCGGUAGGGGAGCAUGGAAUUCCUGGUGUAGCGGUGAAAUGCGCAGAUAUCAGGAGGAACACCAGUGGCGAAGGCGGUGCUCUGGGCCGGAACUGACGCUGAGGAGCGAAAGCGUGGGGAGCAAACAGG
Molecule: ribosomal RNA, 254 nt
Filed under: uncultured bacterium
Lineage: Bacteria
Description: partial 16S ribosomal RNA
Rfam family: Bacterial small subunit ribosomal RNA
Source: RNAcentral